Molecule: unclassified non-coding RNA, 381 nt
Filed under: uncultured bacterium
Lineage: Bacteria
Description: contains 16S-23S intergenic spacer region
Source: RNAcentral
UCCGGCUUGCCACCGGCAGUUCCACUAGAGUGCCCAGCUUAACCUGAUGGUAACUAGGGACGAGGGUUGCGCUCGUUGCGGGACUUAACCCAACAUCUCACGACACGAGCUGACGACAGCCAUGCAGCACCUGUGUUCCGGUUCCCUUUCAGGCACACCCGCCUCUCAGCAGGCUUCCAGACAUGUCAAGGGUAGGUAAGGUUGUUCGCGUUGCAUCGAAUUAAUCCACAUCAUCCACCGCUUGUGCGGGUCCCCGUCAAUUCCUUUGAGUUUUAGCCUUGCGGCCGUACUCCCCAGGCGGGGCACUUAAUGCGUUAGCUUCGGCACGGGAGGAGUCGACACCUCCCACACCUAGUGCCUAUCGUUUACGGCGUGGACUAC